This 473-nucleotide ribosomal RNA is filed under the name uncultured bacterium. RNAcentral describes it as "bacterial SSU rRNA". It matches the Rfam family "Bacterial small subunit ribosomal RNA", at positions 355 to 825 of the family's 1533-position model. The record is from RNAcentral.
UGGGGAAUUUUGGACAAUGGGGGAAACCCGUGAUCCAGCCAUUCCGCGUGAGUGAAGAAGGCCUUCGGGUUGUAAAGCUCUUUCGGCAGGAACGAAACGGUUUGGGUUAAUACCCCAGACUACUGACGGUACCUGAAGAAGAAGCACCGGCUAACUACGUGCCAGCAGCCGCGGUAAUACGUAGGGUGCGAGCGUUAAUCGGAUUUACUGGGCGUAAAGCAUGCGCAGGCGGCGGUUCAAGUCAGGUGUGAAAUCCCCGAGCUUAACUUGGGAAUUGCGCUUGAAACUAGAUCGCUAGAGUACGGCAGAGGGGGGUAGAAUUCCACGUGUAGCAGUGAAAUGCGUAGAGAUGUGGAGGAACACCGAUGGCGAAGGCAGCCCCCUGGGCCUGUACUGACGCUCAUGCAUGAAAGCGUGGGGAGCAAACAGGAUUAGAUACCCUGGUAGUCCCUGAGCGGGCUGGCAAGGCGCAU